Molecule: long non-coding RNA, 1710 nt
Organism: Meriones unguiculatus (Mongolian gerbil)
Lineage: Eukaryota; Metazoa; Chordata; Mammalia; Rodentia; Muridae
Exons: 4
Source: RefSeq, a predicted model, not a curated record
ACCCCGGGCCGCGGCGCCCGCCCGCGGGGAGGCCCUUCGGCCAGGCUGGGUCCCCGGGGCUCCCGUGCGGCGCCCGGGGAGCGAGGGGAGCCGGGCAGGUGGCGCUUGGCCGGCCCCCUCCCCUGCUUCAGGCCACACGGGCGGUGCUGCGCAGCUGGCAACGUGUCGCCGCAGCGCCUUUCCCCCAGCCGCCUGCCUUACAAGGCUCGAAAGUAAAAAUAAAAAGAAUUACGACGCAAGCGAGGCUUCCGAGGGUGAGCAGAGAGGAUUCACUUCUCUCCCAACUACUACCGCAGCACUCCCGAGGCGGGUCCGGUCCUCCUCCGCCAGGAGCCUCUUGCCUCCUGGGGACGGAAAAAACUGAACCCCAGCCUUCGCCUCGGAGGUCGGGAGGAUGGCCGCCACGACUGAGGGGGAGGUGGACCCCAAAUGCAACGUUCUCCCCGGUGCGCAGCGCUAAGGGGUCCCCAUCAGACUUCCACAACCGGGAAGAAAGCUAGUCUCCCCCCGUCCUUCACCGUUCUGAGUUUCGUAAACUAAAGUGAUAAUUUGCAGACCCCCAGGAAUGGGGUGGCCGCUCCUCCCAGUCUACUGGCACGUCCAGAGACCGGCCACCCACUGCUGAAGGCACACCAGCCGGCUGCCUUUGGAGAGGAUGAAAGCAGGGCCCAACAGGACACCCUGCUGGUGACAUAAAUAAAAGAGGACGGCUCACCGCUCCCAGGUAGCUAAGCCAGCAGGUUCUACAAAGAGAAGCCCAAAGCCAUCCUCCCACGCCCACCUCAACCGUGGACAGCUAUGAAGAGUGAUCUGUGAACUGGGCUGAAGACUCCUCCAGCUGGCCAGUAACUUGUAACCUAGCCAGACCCCCCCGACACACACACACCCCACCCUCGGGUGCGGGGGAGAAAGAUGUGCCAAGAGAUGUCAGGUGGUGUUAUCCUAGAGAGAAAGGGAAGAACGAGACCUCCGCUGGAAGGCCUGGAAGGUCCUAAGUGAGGAAGCUCCGAAUGAACUGAAGCACAGCAAAGGAGCGGGGCAGUGGCUUCUCCUGACCUCCCCAGGGACACUGCCUACAGCUGAGAGCUUGCCCUGCAGGAGACUGCCGAUCUUGAACCUCUGGACCACGCUUUCCUACUGUUCACUCUCUGUGGAUGUCAUGAUGUAUUGAAAGGGUCAGACUAACUUUGUAACCUGUAUGUCUUUUAAAGCCUAUAGUUUUGAGUUUUAGGUUCAGGUUAAGCUAAAGCCUCUUAGUACCUUUCCAGAGAAUGAAAAAAUGUGACCCUAUCUGUGAGGACAGAUAGAAAAAAAAAAAGCUAGCAAGCAAUGACCUUCACUCAGCAAAAAGAACGACCAGACCCUUGUCCUUGAGAUAAUGUUUCUUAGCAACCAACCCUUCUGAGUAGCUCCUGACCUCCAGCCAAAAGUCUGCAGCCCCAAUCUUCAAGGAUGAGCUAACCACCCCCACCUUCAAUUGCAGCUGCAUCCACACUUGGCAGGACUGGCCAAGCUUGAGCACCUAAGACUAACCAAUUAUCUUACUUUAUAGCUUCCUCAUCCAAUCCUUAAUUGCCAAAACUGCAACUUCAAAUUUCCCGAAAUUUUUCUUUUAAAAACCUAAAGGCCUCUGUCUCCCGGUGCCACUCUUUGCUGACCGGCAGGGGUGACCCCAUUGCCCAAUGGUUAAUAAACCUCUUGCUUUUGCAA